Trifolium pratense (red clover) is the source of this 619-nucleotide long non-coding RNA. RefSeq lists it as uncharacterized. The record is from RefSeq and is a predicted model, not a curated record. The transcript is spliced from 2 exons. NCBI's taxonomy places the organism in Eukaryota, Viridiplantae, Streptophyta, Magnoliopsida, Fabales, Fabaceae.
CUAAAAAUUGUUCUUCCAGGCACACUUCAUCCCUUUUAGACACUUCACACCUUUAACCAUGUUGCUCAAACCCAAAUCGCGAGCGGUUCACGCCUCAAACCCAAACACUUCUUGAAUCGCUGCUUAUCGAUUUCAGUUUUCCUUCUCGCCUCAGAUCUCUACUCGUAAAACCCAAAUCUCUUCACGCCUCAUAUCUCCGAUUUCUCUCUUCACACCUCAAAUCCCCAAUCGCCACUCUUCACACACCUUAAAUCCCUAAUAGAUUUCAAUUUCCCAAUCUCACGAGUUGCGUAAACUUUGGAAUAACCAAGAGCUAGAGGAGAGGGAUUUAGAGGAAUAGCAAGAGUUGCUUCUCUACAUUAUGAGGAGAGGGAUCUACAUACUUUGGUAGAACUAGAAGAAUAUACAAAAGUUAAUACCACUUAAUGAAGACGGAGGAUCAAUCCCUUUGUAACACUUUCAUUUUAGAAAAAUGAGUGUCUAUAAACUAUAUGUCAUUAUUGUUAGUGUCUACAAGUUUCAUGUAGAGUCCUCCUAUAUGAUGAAUGAAGAUUGAAACAUGUACAUUUGUGUAAUAUUACAAACACUUGAAUAAAAAUGUUCAUAUAUUUAUCUGUUA